RNAcentral lists this ribosomal RNA (465 nucleotides) under uncultured Serratia sp. Its description in RNAcentral is "bacterial SSU rRNA". It matches the Rfam family "Bacterial small subunit ribosomal RNA", at positions 338 to 795 of the family's 1533-position model. The record is from RNAcentral. Lineage: Bacteria; Pseudomonadati; Pseudomonadota; Gammaproteobacteria; Enterobacterales; Yersiniaceae.
CCUACGGGAGGCUGCAGUGGGGAAUAUUGCACAAUGGGCGCAAGCCUGAUGCAGCCAUGCCGCGUGUGUGAAGAAGGCCUUCGGGUUGUAAAGCACUUUCAGCGAGGAGGAAGGUGGUGAGCUUAAUACGCUCAUCAAUUGACGUUACUCUCAGAAGAAGCACCGGCUAACUUCGUGCCAGCAGCCGCGGUAAUACGGAGGGUGCAAGCGUUAAUCGGAAUUACUGGGCGUAAAGCGCACGCAGGCGGUUUGCUGAGGCCGAUGUGAAAUCGCCGGGCUCAACCUGGGAGAUGCAUUUGAAACUGGCAAGCUGGAGUCUCGUAGAGGGGGGUAGAAUUCCAGGUGUAGCGGUGAAAUGCGUAGAGAUCUGGAGGAAUACCGGUGGCGAAGGCGGCCCCCUGGACAAAGACUGACGCUCAGGUGCGAAAGCGUGGGGAGCAAACAGGAUUAGAUACCCUUGUAGUC